CAGGGAGACAACAAAAUNNUAAUAUUAUUAUUUUGUCACCUUAGGUCGAUCGGUAUCUCGCAUUUUUAAUUUAUUAAAAAUUUCAAUUCCUAAGUUUUUCUAGGUCACACCCAUUAUUUUUCCUGGGCCAUUAGCUCAGGUGGUUAGAGCGCACCCCUGAUAAGGGUGAGGUCCCUGGUUCAAGUCCAGGAUGGCCCAUAUCUCUAUGUUGGGGGUAUAGCUCAGUUGGUAGAGCGCCUGCUUUGCAAGCAGGAUGUCAGCGGUUCGAGUCCGCUUACCUCCACUGAUUACCACCUCUUCCAUAAUCUGUAGAAAAGGAAAAUUUUGAGUUGUGAUCAAAUUCUGAACGAAUCUAGCUUCCUAAUAAAAUCAUUAAGAUGCUGGACUCAUUGAAUUAAUUUCAUUGUUUUCAGAGAACCUUGACAACUGCAUAGAUUAUUUUUAAAGACAAUAAGCAUCUUUAAUGAUGCAGAUUUAUUAUUUGUGCGAAUGCAUUAAUAACAAUUCUAUUAAGCUGAUGCUUCAAUUUUGAAGUUAUU
This 539-nucleotide transfer RNA is filed under the name uncultured Prochlorococcus sp. RNAcentral describes it as "partial 16S-23S ribosomal RNA intergenic spacer". The stretch from base 211 to 283 matches the Rfam family "tRNA". The record is from RNAcentral. Lineage: Bacteria; Bacillati; Cyanobacteriota; Cyanophyceae; Synechococcales; Prochlorococcaceae.